Molecule: non-coding RNA, 135 nt
Organism: Triticum aestivum (bread wheat)
Lineage: Eukaryota; Viridiplantae; Streptophyta; Magnoliopsida; Poales; Poaceae
Source: Rfam
UUGGUACUCCCUCCGUCCUAAAAUUCUUGUCUUACAUUUAUCUAAAUAUAGAUAUAUCAAGUCACAUAUUAGUAUUAGAUACAUCCGUAUCUAAACAAAUCUAAGACAAGAAUUUUGGGACGGAGGAAGUAUAUA